AUAUAAUCUGUCUAGAGCAUGAGCUAAAUUAUAUUUGUAAAAGAACAUAUUAUUUAAUCUGGUAUGCUUUACCUAAAUAUUUAAUUAUGUUAUUAUAUCUUGUCUUAUAAUGGAGUUUUAAUGCAAGUUCGGGGUUUCUAUUUACUGUUUAAGUGUUUAACAGAACCGAUUAAUCUCCGGUGAGGACGUUGGUCAGCCUGAAAAGUAGGUCGUAAGCUUAGGAGAAGCGUGUUAGACCUUGAUUGGUGGUCCCGUCACUGAGAAAACACUUAGCUGUCUAUAGUGUAAUGCCAUUAAAACUUGUUAAGAUUCCAUAAGCCAUAGAUGUACCUGCAUAAUUGUAUUUAGUUAUUGCAUGCUUGCUUAUAAGAAUAUGUCUGUUUUAUAAAUAUAUAUUUGCUCUGUUAGUCUCUAGGCAGUUUUGUUAAAACUAUGAAUAGCCAUGUCAAAAAUACUGUUAAUUUAUCUUCUCAAGCAACUCCGAUUGCUACUAUUGAAAAUGAUCUUCAAAACUGGAGUAUUCCAGAAGAAUCUUUCAAUACAAUUUAUCAAAUUGGAAAAUUUAGUUUUUUGAAAAAAC
RNAcentral lists this long non-coding RNA (580 nucleotides) under Capsicum annuum. RNAcentral describes it as "long non-coding RNA (CANN_LNC004307)". Lineage: Eukaryota; Viridiplantae; Streptophyta; Magnoliopsida; Solanales; Solanaceae. The record is from RNAcentral.